RNAcentral lists this ribosomal RNA (2049 nucleotides) under Triticum aestivum (bread wheat). RNAcentral describes it as "partial small subunit ribosomal RNA". The record is from RNAcentral. Lineage: Eukaryota; Viridiplantae; Streptophyta; Magnoliopsida; Poales; Poaceae.
AUGUGGCUUCUUCUUGUACUGAUAUGGAUUAUUUUUCUUACUGUGCAGGCAGAUACGGAGCAUUCUGGUGAGGAGGAUGACGGCAUGAAAGUGGAGGCAGAAUUCAUUGGAGCUGACGGGCCACUCAAAAUCAAGCACCAGAUUCAGUCCAAGGUCUGGGAUGAGUUUGAGCCCAUCUUUCUGGACGACAAGGUCCAGUUUGCAGAGUGCCUGAGCUGCCACUUUCUCUUCAGCUGGAACGGAGAUAGCUGUCUGCGCCGGCACCUGGAAUCCUGCCCGGCCAAACCGGAAGCGGCGGAGAGGCCACAGGAGGACUCCUGCUUCACUGAUGGUAGCAGCUCCAGUGGCGCAACCCGUCGGCCUGUUCAAGGGGUGGCAGAUCAUCAAUCCAUAUCACCAUCAGAUGUCCCAAACCUGAAGAAGAAACAGAAGACCUCAUCUAUGAAUACUGGGGACGAUAUGAGUGCCAGCAAGUUUGGUCAGGAGUCACCUUAUCAAGAUGUGGCCAGAAUGAUCAUACUCCAUGGUUAUCCGCUGUCGAUUGUGGAGCAUCAAGAAAUGAAAAGGAUUUUCAAGAGCAUCAACCCUGUGGCUAACACAAUCUCCCAUAGUGAUAUGGAGGAACAUUUGUUUGAUCUAUUUCAGAAGGAAAAGAUGAAUGUCAAGCGUAAAAUUGCGCUUACCUUCCGGCGCGUCUCUCUGUCAGCAAGCAUCUGGACUGAUGAUGGACCUGAGCCGACGGUAAAGUACCUCUGUCUGACAGCACAUUUCAUCGGCGAAGACUGGAAAAUCCGCAGAAUGAUAAUAAAGUUCGGCAUGUAUUGGUGCUCACCUACUAAUUUGGAAAGGACCAUACACUGCAAGGAGGCCUAUGUUCCACAGUCUGAAAGUGGAUCUUACAAUGUCAUAUGGGAUGCAAUCAGAGAUUGGAAUCUUGAUCAGAAGAUGCUGAGCUUGACUUCAGUUGGUGAAAUCAAGAACGAUGCGAAUACCGCGAGGCUCAAGGCGAUGCUCACGGAGAAGGGGUGCCUUCCCAUCAGAGGCAAGCUAUGCAACAUUGCUUGUUUGGACGACAUGAUAAACAGUGUUGUUGAUGAAGGGCAAUCAGACAUACUUCUCCUUAUUGGUGAUGCAGUAAUGGACUUUUUUGUGGCACAUGCAUCUUCACCAUUGGCCCAGCAACAGCUUCUGGAGGCCAUUUCACAGAUGAGCUUGAAGUGUCCACGGGAAGAUGCCAAGUGGUGGCACAAGUUUUAUUUUAGGCUUGAACUUCUGCUGCAAUUCAAGAAGUUAUUUCCUGCUGAAGAAGUGCUGUCUCCAGAAGAUAUGGGAGUUACUGAGUCCAUUUGCAAGAUUUUGAGAACGUUUUAUCAUGCCAUCGAAGUAAUUUCUGGCCCGAGCUCUCCGACGGCAAACAUAUACUUUAGCGAGGUAUGGAAAGUGAGGACUGUUCUGCAGGAAGAAGCAUCAAAUGAGAAUGUCGAAAUUGCUACAUUGGUCAUGGUGAUGCAGCACGCAUUCGACGAGUACUGGCAGAACUCAUACGUGUGGUUGUCAAUACCUGUUGUUCUAGACCCUAGAUUCAAGAUGAGCUUCAUCGAAUUCCGUCUGCGACAGGCUUAUGGUGCAGGCUCAGCGAGCUACUUAUCCGAAAUACGCGGUGCGGUGCAGGAACUGUUUGGUGAGUACUACAAGCCUAUGAAUCAGCCGAGUGGUGCCGUUGUUUCGAGCAGUGCAGAUGAUAAAGAUUCAUUGGAAGAUUGGGAUGAGCAUGUCAGUAGUCAGAUGUCUUCAGAGCUUGAUGGCUACCUUGGGGAGGGCCUAGUCCCAAGAGAGGAUGAUUUUGACAUUCUGAAAUGGUGGAUGGAACAUGCCACCAAGUACCCCACGCUUGCGGCUAUUGCGUGGGACGUCCUGGCCAUGCCGGCGUCUGCAGUUCACUCUGAAGCUGCAUUUAGCAGCAGCGGGCCGGUGAUCCCGAGGCACAAUAGUGCGCUGAGCAUCAGGACGAUUGAGGCGCUCGUCUGUUCUCGAGAUUGGAUGAGAUGA